RNAcentral lists this small nuclear RNA (107 nucleotides) under Procavia capensis (Cape rock hyrax). The record is from RNAcentral. Lineage: Eukaryota; Metazoa; Chordata; Mammalia; Hyracoidea; Procaviidae.
GUGCUUGUUUUACCAGCACAUAUACUAAAAUUGGAACGAUACAGAGAAGAUUAGCAUGGCCCCUGUGCAAGGAUAAUAUGCAAAUUCGUGAAGCACUACAUAUUUUU